This 164-nucleotide unclassified non-coding RNA is filed under the name uncultured Sordariomycetes. RNAcentral describes it as "sequence contains ITS1". The stretch from base 1 to 105 matches the Rfam family "5.8S ribosomal RNA", at positions 50 to 154 of the family's 154-position model. From Rfam's summary of the family: 5.8S ribosomal RNA (5.8S rRNA) is a component of the large subunit of the eukaryotic ribosome. It is transcribed by RNA polymerase I as part of the 45S precursor that also contains 18S and 28S rRNA. Lineage: Eukaryota; Fungi; Ascomycota; Sordariomycetes. The record is from RNAcentral.
GAAAUGCGAUACUUGGUGUGAAUUGCAGAAUCCCGUGAACCAUCGAAUCUUUGAACGCACAUUGCGCCCGCCAGUAUUCUGGCGGGCAUGCCUGUUCGAGCGUCAUUUCAACCCUCAAGCCCUCGGGUUUGGUGUUGGGGAUCGGCUUGCCAGAAAGGCUCGCC